Molecule: small RNA, 77 nt
Filed under: Xanthomonas axonopodis pv. cassiae
Lineage: Bacteria; Pseudomonadati; Pseudomonadota; Gammaproteobacteria; Lysobacterales; Lysobacteraceae
Also listed under: 4 other names
Description: sX9 sRNA
Rfam family: Xanthomonas sRNA sX9
Source: RNAcentral
AUGCACCGCGCCGACACUUCGGUUGUGAGUGCGCCGUCCACAUCCAGCUGACGACUGCUCGCCACCGUCUGUUAGCC